RNAcentral lists this small nucleolar RNA (103 nucleotides) under Echinops telfairi (small Madagascar hedgehog). Lineage: Eukaryota; Metazoa; Chordata; Mammalia; Afrosoricida; Tenrecidae. The record is from RNAcentral.
UGGGAGAAAGAUAAAGCUGUCUGCACCCAUAAAGAUUUAGAGUCUCGGGAAAAUGACUGGGUUGAAAAUAUUAUUCUAUUCACUUUGUUCCCAGCCUACAUUU